CGAUAGUGUAUUUUAAUGUUGUUGCUGUUAAAAAGCUCGUAGUUGAAUUUCUGGUUUUUCGGCAAUCCUCCGGGAGCGCCGUGAGAUCAUCCACCCUGAAAGCUCGUAUGCCGAAUAAGCUGCGUGUCGAAGGGGUAUUUUACUUUGAAGAAAUUAGAGUGUUCCAGGCAAGCUAAUGCUUGAAUAUUACAGCAUGGAAUAAUGGAAUAGGACUGUCCAUUGGUUGGAUCAGUAAUGAUUAGCAGGAACAGUUGGGGGCACUAGUAUUACAUGGUUAGCGGUAAAAUGUGUUGACCCAUGUAGGACUAACAAAAGCGAAGGCAUUUGCCAAGAAUGUUUNCAUUAA
RNAcentral lists this ribosomal RNA (346 nucleotides) under uncultured eukaryote. Its description in RNAcentral is "partial 18S ribosomal RNA". It matches the Rfam family "Eukaryotic small subunit ribosomal RNA", at positions 592 to 976 of the family's 1831-position model. The record is from RNAcentral.